GACGAACGCUGGCGGCGUGCUUAACACAUGCAAGUCGAGCGGUAAGGCCCUUUCGGGGGUACACGAGCGGCGAACGGGUGAGUAACACGUGGGUGACCUGCCCUCAGCUCUGGGAUAAGCCUGGGAAACUGGGUCUAAUACUGGAUAUGACUCCACGGUGCAUGUCGUGGGGUGGAAAGCCUUGUGCGGCUGAGGAUGGGCCCGCGGCCUAUCAGCUUUGUUGGUGGGGUGANGGCCUACCAAGGCGACGACGGGUAGCCGGCCUGAGAGGGCGACCGGCCACACUGGGACUGAGACACGGCCCAGACUCCUACGGGAGGCAGCAGUGGGGAAUCUUGCGCAAUGGGCGAAAGCCUGACGCAGCGACGCCGCGUGAGGGAUGACGGCCUCGGUUGUAACGUACUU
This 405-nucleotide ribosomal RNA is filed under the name uncultured bacterium. RNAcentral's name for it is "bacterial SSU rRNA". It matches the Rfam family "Bacterial small subunit ribosomal RNA", at positions 28 to 435 of the family's 1533-position model. The record is from RNAcentral.